GAAGAUACCACUAACAGCCCAGGUUGUACUGACUCUGAUGGAAAUCGCCAUGAAUUUAACUCUGAUUGGGAGAACGAACAUGACAUAUGUGUCUGUGUGGAGUAUGGAAUCAUCUGUUGUCAACGAUUUGAUCACACCCAACCUGAACCCACCGCUGAAAUAUUUUAUGAUAACUUUGGAGCAUUCACUGAGAAUGACCUCGGAGAGACUGAAGAACCAUCCAUG
Long non-coding RNA from Rhinichthys klamathensis goyatoka, 225 nucleotides. RefSeq lists it as uncharacterized. The transcript is spliced from 3 exons. The record is from RefSeq and is a predicted model, not a curated record. NCBI's taxonomy places the organism in Eukaryota, Metazoa, Chordata, Actinopteri, Cypriniformes, Leuciscidae.